RNAcentral lists this ribosomal RNA (259 nucleotides) under Salmonella enterica. RNAcentral describes it as "partial 23S ribosomal RNA". It matches the Rfam family "Bacterial large subunit ribosomal RNA", at positions 461 to 722 of the family's 2925-position model. Lineage: Bacteria; Pseudomonadati; Pseudomonadota; Gammaproteobacteria; Enterobacterales; Enterobacteriaceae. The record is from RNAcentral. RNAcentral also lists the same sequence under 2 other names.
CAAGGCUAAAUACUCCUGACUGACCGAUAGUGAACCAGUACCGUGAGGGAAAGGCGAAAAGAACCCCGGCGAGGGGAGUGAAAAAGAACCUGAAACCGUGUACGUACAAGCAGUGGGAGCACCCUUUUGGGUGUGACUGCGUACCUUUUGUAUAAUGGGUCAGCGACUUAUAUUCUGUAGCAAGGUUAACCGAAUAGGGGAGCCGGAGGGAAACCGAGUCUUAAUUGGGCGUUAAGUUGCAGGGUAUAGACCCGAAACC